CCAGACCGCCAGCUAAGGUCCCAAAGUCAUGGUUAAGUGGGAAACGAUGUGGGAAGGCCCAGACAGCCAGGAUGUUGGCUUAGAAGCAGCCAUCAUUUAAAGAAAGCGUAAUAGCUCACUGGUCGAGUCGGCCUGCGCGGAAGAUGUAACGGGGCUAAACCAUGCACCGAAGCUGCGGCAGCGACACUCAGGUGUUGUUGGGUAGGGGAGCGUUCUGUAAGCCUGCGAAGGUGGCCUGUGAGGGUUGCUGGAGGUAUCAGAAGUGCGAAUGCUGACAUAAGUAACGAUAAAGCGGGUGAAAAGCCCGCUCGCCGGAAGACCAAGGGUUCCUGUCCAACGUUAAUCGGGGCAGGGUGAGUCGACCCCUAAGGCGAGGCCGAAAGGCGUAGUCGAUGGGAAACGGGUUAAUAUUCCCGUACUUGGUGUUACUGCGAAGGGGGGACGGAGAAGGCUAUGUUGGCCGGGCGACGGUUGUCCCGGUUUAAGCGUGUAGGUGUGUGUUCCAGGUAAAUCCGGUUCACUUUAACACUGAGGCGUGAUGACGAGGCACUACGGUGCUGAAGCAACAAAUGCCCUGCUUCCAGGAAAAGCCUCUAAGCAUCAGGUAACAUCAAAUCGUACCCCAAACCGACACAGGUGGUCAGGUAGAGAAUACCAAGGCGCUUGAGAGAACUCGGGUGAAGGAACUAGGCAAAAUGGUGCCGUAACUUCGGGAGAAGGCACGCUGACACGUAGGUGAAGUGAUUUACUCAUGGAGCUGAAGUCAGUCGAAGAUACCAGCUGGCUGCAACUGUUUAUUAAAAACACAGCACUGUGCAAACACGAAAGUGGACGUAUACGGUGUGACGCCUGCCCGGUGCCGGAAGGUUAAUUGAUGGGGUCAGCGCAAGCGAAGCUCCUGAUCGAAGCCCCGGUAAACGGCGGCCGUAACUAUAACGGUCCUAAGGUAGCGAAAUUCCUUGUCGGGUAAGUUCCGACCUGCACGAAUGGCGUAAUGAUGGCCAGGCUGUCUCCACCCGAGACUCAGUGAAAUUGAACUCGCUGUGAAGAUGCAGUGUACCCGCGGCAAGACGGAAAGACCCCGUGAACCUUUACUAUAGCUUGACACUGAACAUUGAGCCUUGAUGUGUAGGAUAGGUGGGAGGCUUUGAAGUGUGGACGCCAGUCUGCAUGGAGCCGGCCUUGAAAUACCACCCUUUAAUGUUUGAUGUUCUAACGUGGACCCGUGAUCCGGGUUGCGGACAGUGUCUGGUGGGUAGUUUGACUGGGGCGGUCUCCUCCUAAAGAGUAACGGAGGAGCACGAAGGUUGGCUAAUCCUGGUCGGACAUCAGGAGGUUAGUGCAAUGGCAUAAGCCAGCUUGACUGCGAGCGUGACGGCGCGAGCAGGUGCGAAAGCAGGUCAUAGUGAUCCGGUGGUUCUGAAUGGAAGGGCCAUCGCUCAACGGAUAAAAGGUACUCCGGGGAUAACAGGCUGAUACCGCCCAAGAGUUCAUAUCGACGGCGGUGUUUGGCACCUCGAUGUCGGCUCAUCACAUCCUGGGGCUGAAGUAGGUCCCAAGGGUAUGGCUGUUCGCCAUUUAAAGUGGUACGCGAGCUGGGUUUAGAACGUCGUGAGACAGUUCGGUCCCUAUCUGCCGUGGGCGCUGGAGAACUGAGGGGGGCUGCUCCUAGUACGAGAGGACCGGAGUGGACGCAUCACUGGUGUUCGGGUUGUCAUGCCAAUGGCACUGCCCGGUAGCUAAAUGCGGAAGAGAUAAGUGCUGAAAGCAUCUAAGCACGAAACUUGCCCCGAGAUGAGUUCUCCCUGAGACUUUAGGUCUCCUGAAGGAACGUUGAAGACGACGACGUUGAUAGGCCGGGUGUGUAAGCGCAGCGAUGCGUUGAGCUAACCGGUACUAAUGAACCGUGAGGCUUAACCUU
This 1921-nucleotide ribosomal RNA is filed under the name Salmonella enterica. Its description in RNAcentral is "partial 23S ribosomal RNA". It matches the Rfam family "Bacterial large subunit ribosomal RNA", at positions 1027 to 2925 of the family's 2925-position model. Lineage: Bacteria; Pseudomonadati; Pseudomonadota; Gammaproteobacteria; Enterobacterales; Enterobacteriaceae. The record is from RNAcentral.